Paramuricea clavata is the source of this 349-nucleotide non-coding RNA. The record is from the annotation of a GenBank genome assembly. Lineage: Eukaryota; Metazoa; Cnidaria; Anthozoa; Malacalcyonacea; Plexauridae.
GACAAAUACCAAAAAAAAAUUCGCGCACAGAAAAAAUCCAGAAAAAAUUAUAGUGCACAACAAACCUAUUGAAAAAAAAUCGAGCAAGAACUAGGGCUGAUUUUUAAAAUCUUAAUGCAAUUAUUCUAAAACAUUAAAAUGGUGUUUUUACGACAAUCGGAAAAAUUUAUGACGAACUUUUCGGCGAACUUGGUUUAGGUCGUCUAAAAAAAAAUAUCGUGCAAAGGAAUGUUGCCGGGAAAAAAUCCUUGCAAGCAAUUGGGGGAUGAAAAAAAAUUCGUGCACUGAAAAAUUCCCCCCCCCCCCCCUUCUCAAAUAUCUAAUGGUCCGUCCCUUAGUAGGGCUGCCC